CGGACGGGUGGGUAAUGUCUGGGAAACUGCCCGAUGGAGGGGGAUAACUACUGGAAACGGUAGCUAAUACCGCAUAAUGUCUGCGGACCAAAGCGGGGGACCUCCGGGCCUCGCGCCAUCAGAUGAACCCAUAUGGGAUUAGCUAGUAGGUAAGGUAACGGCUUACCUAGGCGACGAUCCCUAGCUGGUCUGAGAGGAUGAUCAGCCACACUGGGACUGAGACACGGCCCAG
Molecule: ribosomal RNA, 232 nt
Filed under: uncultured bacterium
Lineage: Bacteria
Description: partial 16S ribosomal RNA
Rfam family: Bacterial small subunit ribosomal RNA
Source: RNAcentral